GUGAAUCAUCGAAUUUUUGAACGCAAAUUGCACUCUCUUCGGAGAGUAUGCCUGUUUGAGGGUCAGCCUAAAAAAAAUCGACGUCGUCGCUGUUUCGCGGUGACGUUCGUCGGAAAUUGGGCCAUCUUAAACCUUUGGGUUUUUUAGCGGUUAAAAUUUUUCUUUUCGUUUCCACGAACGUUCUUAAGAUUUUUCUUUUUACAGACGU
This 208-nucleotide unclassified non-coding RNA is filed under the name Glomus sp. RNAcentral's name for it is "partial contains 5.8S ribosomal RNA and internal transcribed spacer 2". The stretch from base 1 to 65 matches the Rfam family "5.8S ribosomal RNA", at positions 84 to 154 of the family's 154-position model. The record is from RNAcentral. Lineage: Eukaryota; Fungi; Glomeromycota; Glomeromycetes; Glomerales; Glomeraceae.